GUCUUGGAUUAUACGUGCGCGCGGAUAAUCGGGCUUGUUCUCGUUACGAUGCACUCUUUGGAAGGUCAAGCAUAUCUCGCACAAAAACGAAGAAGAUCAAACGCCAGAAUGUGAGAAAGAAGGAAGUCGUUCGAGGAUUACGGAAAGAUUAAGAAACCUGCGAACCUUCCGGGGAACAGAAUUUUAUUGUUCGCCCUCGCACACGCGCGAACGGCUUUCGAACCGUAAUAAUACUCGCACCAUCUGAUCGGCUCGUAAACCAGCGUCCGCGUAUUUUAUGUACAGCCUCCCGUUGGUGACAUAUUGUCCACACCAUGGAAAAAGCUUUCGAGGCGAAACGACGACGAGGAAAGAAUAUUCGAAGACAACGAUCGUUAUUACAUGUCUAUCGAUGGGAGACGCGAGAAACAUAAAAAUGCUGGCCGUUCUCAGCCGGAGAGCCCCGAGAUUCCUUGUUCUUCGAUAAACCAGCUGAGGUUGGAAAAAUUCUGUCGCAGGUACCGAAUAUCUGAGGACGUUGGCGAAAAUAUCCUCGACAAAUCGCUCGAGAAUUUCUGUGCUUUCUUAAAAUAAUUUUCUUUAUAUAAAUGCAGUAUUAUGUAUACAGGAACUGCAAGCAUCGAAUCCGAGAUGGCUCUUGCCAUGACUAAAUUACGAAGAUAUAACCGGCAGCGAUUGAAAAUUCUACCGAAUUAGCGGUAAUUGAAACGGUCGAUAAAUUUGCAAUCCCUCCUCUGCGUCUAUCGUCACCAACGGAUACGAUCGUGGAGCGUAGUUUAAGGCGAUGCGACGUUUAGAUAAUACCCUUCGUAAAUUGCCAAUUAGCGUUUUACUGCCCCGCGAGACGCGGGCUUUGCUUUCGUAUAGCGUCGCUACCGACGUCGUAAAGGACGGAGUACCGAGGACAUCGCCGAUACUUGAUUCCAGUUAGUAGUUGCUCGAGGAGCUGCAACGUACGCUAUCUAUUACGAUUUUAUGACAGUUUCUAACGUUCCGUGGAACACCGGAUUUACACGGAGUAAGUUCCGCCGUUCUGCCGUUCGGCCCCAGAAAUAAUUCGAGACGCGUCUUCGGUCGAAGGGAACUUGGAAGACGAACCGAGACAGGAGAAUCUAACGAACGCAAAAUAAUGUUCACGCACACGUUGGGCGCGGGUGUAUAAAUGCGACACGAGGCGUGGCAAUAUCCAUAAAAGGGACCAGAGUGAGAGUAAUAUUGUCGGCAUCUGCGCCGCGUGGCAUAGCCUCGCAACGGCGAUGAAGGCGACGGGACGUCCACGUUGAAAUAAAAAAAACGAUCCUUCGCGAGAAGAAUUCGUCGAUAUAUGGACGCGUAAUGGACGCUGCUCGAGGAACGAUCUGGUCUCCGUACGGUUGGCGUGCUCCCGCGGUGGCAUCUCGCGCAGGGGUCGAAACGUCACUGGGCCGGAUAAAUCGUUUUUCGACGCGUUUCGAAUACUACGCGGGCGGCCAAUCUCGUCCCACGAGGGUGAGCCCGUCGGAGGGUACUAAAAAAAAUCUGUUUCCGUUUUUUCGAAUGACCGAGAAUGCGCCCGGCCUACCGGCUUUCCCAAAUGUCUCGUAGACUAUCCGAAACCGUAACGCUCCGCGUCCUUUAGGAUAGACAUGGAAUUUUAGUACCAACAGAGGACCGUUACGGGGACUAAAAAUAUCCAAACGGCGGAUACUCGAUGUGGAUACACCCAGGGACACGGGAAUGCGAAAGAUAUAUCGACGCCAUACAUAUCCGAGUUCGCGAAAGAUCUACGAUGGAUGAGAUCGUUAAGUAUCUGUCGCGAUAAUCUAAUAAAAUUACACGAACGGCGAAGUAGUCGAAAGUGAACGACCGAUCUGGGAAACUUCCAAGAAGAGAUACUUUCUGAAAAAAAAUCCGCGAAUCAACGUCGACUUCUCCGUCGUUGUUUUUUAUCGCUCGCGACAAGCUGGAUCGCGAUAAUCAUUGGUCGUCGUAUCAGCGGUGGAUCGGACACACCGGAAGGAGUAAUUUGAUUCCGAGGGAAUCGAUAAUGGCUUCUCAGCGAGAAACAGCUUUUCCCUAUAAUUCACACGACGACGAUCGACCGGCCAUUGCCACUUUCA
This is a long non-coding RNA of Hylaeus anthracinus, 2099 nucleotides long. RefSeq lists it as uncharacterized. Lineage: Eukaryota; Metazoa; Arthropoda; Insecta; Hymenoptera; Colletidae. The record is from RefSeq and is a predicted model, not a curated record. The transcript has 3 exons.